AACGAACGCUGGCGGCAUGCCUAACACAUGCAAGUCGAACGAGACCUUCGGGUCUAGUGGCGCACGGGUGCGUAACGCGUGGGAACCUGCCCUUAGGUUCGUAAUAACUCCCCGAAAGGGGUGCUAAUACCGGAUAAUGUCUUCGGACCAAAGAAUUAUCGCCUUUGGAUGGGCCCGCGUUGGAUUAGCUAGUUGGUAGGGUAAAAGCCUACCAAGGCGACGAUCCAUAGCUGGUCUGAGAGGAUGAUCAGCCACACUGGGACUGAGACACGGCCCAGACUCCUACGGGAGGCAGCAGUGGGGAAUAUUGGACAAUGGGCGAAAGCCUGAUCCAGCAAUGCCGCGUGAGUGAUGAAGGCCUUAGGGUUGUAAAGCUCUUUUACCCGGGAUGAUAAUGACAGUACCGGGAGAAUAAGCGCCGGCUAACUCCGUG
This 433-nucleotide ribosomal RNA is filed under the name uncultured bacterium. RNAcentral describes it as "partial 16S ribosomal RNA". It matches the Rfam family "Bacterial small subunit ribosomal RNA", at positions 29 to 507 of the family's 1533-position model. The record is from RNAcentral.